Molecule: transfer RNA, 66 nt
Filed under: Scolytinae sp. BMNH 1039896
Lineage: Eukaryota; Metazoa; Arthropoda; Insecta; Coleoptera; Curculionidae
Description: tRNA-Ser
Source: RNAcentral
AGAUGUAAUUUAUCAAAAAGAAGCUUCUAACUUCAUUUUAAAGCGGUCAUUACGUUUUUGCAUCUA